UGUAUACUAAUACAAGAAGCUUAUAUAUGGUCAUGAUAUGGAUGGCUGUCUCUACCCAACACCGUAAACGUUGGUCUAUAAGUGAAAAAGAGUCUCAG
This is a non-coding RNA of Enterococcus rotai, 98 nucleotides long. The record is from Rfam. Lineage: Bacteria; Bacillati; Bacillota; Bacilli; Lactobacillales; Enterococcaceae.